This 524-nucleotide ribosomal RNA is filed under the name uncultured bacterium. RNAcentral describes it as "partial 16S ribosomal RNA". It matches the Rfam family "Bacterial small subunit ribosomal RNA", at positions 28 to 523 of the family's 1533-position model. The record is from RNAcentral.
GACGAACGCUGGCGGCGUGCCUAAUACAUGCAAGUCGAACGAAGCUGUUUUAACUGGUGCUUGCACCGACUUAAACAACUGAGUGGCGAACGGGUGAGUAACACGUGGGUAACCUGCCCCAAAGCGGGGGAUAACAUUUGGAAACAGAUGCUAAUACCGCAUAAUCACAGAAACCACAUGGUUUCUGUGUCAAAGAUGGUUUCGGCUAUCACUUUGGGAUGGACCCGCGGCGUAUUAGCUAGUUGGUAAGGUAAUGGCUUACCAAGGCAAUGGUACGUAGCCGAACUGAGAGGUUGAUCGGCCACGUUGGGACUGAGACACGGCCCAAACUCCUACGGGAGGCAGCAGUAGGGAAUCUUCCACAAUGGACGAAAGUCUGAUGGAGCAACGCCGCGUGAGUGAAGAAGGUUUUCGGAUCGUAAAACUCUGUUGUCAGAGAAGAACGUGUGCGAGAGUAACUGUUCGUGCAGUGACGGUAUCUGGCCAGAAAGCCACGGCUAACUACGUGCCAGCCGCCGCCGUAA